AUACGGAGGGUGCGAGCGUUAAUCGGAAUUACUGGGCGUAAAGCGUGCGUAGGCGGUUUGCUAAGUCAGAUGUGAAAGCCCCGGGCUUAACCUGGGAACUGCAUUUGAUACUGGCAGACUUGAGUAUGAUAGAGGGGGGUAGAAUUCCUGGUGUAGCGGUGAAAUGCGUAGAUAUCAGGAGGAAUACCAGUGGCGAAGGCGGCCCCCUGGAUCAAUACUGACGCUGAGGUACGAAAGCGUGGGGAGCGAACAGGAUUAGAUACCCCAGUAGUCC
Molecule: ribosomal RNA, 274 nt
Filed under: uncultured bacterium
Lineage: Bacteria
Description: partial 16S ribosomal RNA
Rfam family: Bacterial small subunit ribosomal RNA
Source: RNAcentral